AAUUCGAUGCUACACGAAGACUUACCUGGUUUGACAUAGAGGUAGUAGGGAAGCGAAGCGGACGACCCUUCGGGAGCCUCUACAGGUGUUGCAUGGCUGUCGUCAGCUCGUGUCGUGAGAUGUUCGGUUAAGUCCGCUAACGAGCGCAACCCUCGUCGUGUGUUACAAGUGUCACGCGAGACCGCCGACGUCAAGUCGGAGGAAGGUGGGGAUGAUGUCAAGUCAGCAUGGCCUUUAUAUCCAGGGCUACACACACGCUACAAUGGUCAACACAAUAGGUCGCGAAACCGCGAGGUGGAGCCAAUCCUCAAAGUUGGCCUCAGUUCAGAUUGUAGGCUGCAACUCGCCUGCAUGAAGAUGGAGUUGCUAGUAACCGCAGGUCAGCACUACUGCGGUGAAUACGUUCCCGGGGUUU
RNAcentral lists this ribosomal RNA (415 nucleotides) under uncultured Anaerolineaceae bacterium. RNAcentral describes it as "bacterial SSU rRNA". It matches the Rfam family "Bacterial small subunit ribosomal RNA", at positions 948 to 1382 of the family's 1533-position model. The record is from RNAcentral. Lineage: Bacteria; Bacillati; Chloroflexota; Anaerolineae; Anaerolineales; Anaerolineaceae.